GAUCCUGAUCUAGUCCUGGUGCAUUCCUGCUUCAGUCCUCCUUCAGUUCUGGUUGAGUCCUGGGUCCAAGUCCAGGACCAUGUCUCCGAGUCCUGGACUCUCGUAUUUGGACCGAGUGGUUCAGGAGAUCAUCGAGACCGAGAGGGUCUACGUCCGGGACCUGAGGAUGAUCGUCCAGGAUUACCUGGGACACAUCAUCGACCAAUCAGAGCUCAGCAUUCGGCCCGACCAGGUGAGCGCUCUGUUCGGAAACAUCGAGGAAAUCUACGAGUUCAA
Molecule: long non-coding RNA, 276 nt
Organism: Boleophthalmus pectinirostris (great blue-spotted mudskipper)
Lineage: Eukaryota; Metazoa; Chordata; Actinopteri; Gobiiformes; Gobiidae
Exons: 3
Source: RefSeq, a predicted model, not a curated record